Molecule: ribosomal RNA, 136 nt
Filed under: bacterium
Lineage: Bacteria
Description: partial 16S ribosomal RNA
Rfam family: Bacterial small subunit ribosomal RNA
Source: RNAcentral
AUAAACUGAGAGUUUGAUCCUGGCUCAGGAUUAACGCUGGCGGCAUGCCUAAUACAUGCAAGUUGUACGAGAUCUUUUAGAUCUAGUAGCGAACGGGUGAGUAAUGUAUUUCUAACCUACCCUAGAGAGUGGAAUA